This 76-nucleotide transfer RNA is filed under the name Pseudomonas sp. Its description in RNAcentral is "tRNA-Ala". It matches the Rfam family "tRNA". Rfam says of the family: Transfer RNA (tRNA) molecules are approximately 80 nucleotides in length. Their secondary structure includes four short double-helical elements and three loops (D, anti-codon, and T loops). The record is from RNAcentral. Lineage: Bacteria; Pseudomonadati; Pseudomonadota; Gammaproteobacteria; Pseudomonadales; Pseudomonadaceae.
GGGGCUAUAGCUCAGCUGGGAGAGCGCUUGCAUGGCAUGCAAGAGGUCGUCGGUUCGAUUCCGUCUGGCUCCACCA